RNAcentral lists this long non-coding RNA (211 nucleotides) under Setaria italica (foxtail millet). Its description in RNAcentral is "long non-coding RNA (SITA_LNC006895)". Lineage: Eukaryota; Viridiplantae; Streptophyta; Magnoliopsida; Poales; Poaceae. The record is from RNAcentral.
AAACACCAAUAGAAGCUAGUAAAAUACAAGAACCUAUCAAAUUACAAACUAACUACAUCACCAAAGUCAUUGUAACUUGAAAUCAAUGUUUAGUUUUGCACUUCAUAAACUAUAGUCUAUCAACUUCUAACACCAAUCGGAAUGCAGAUCUAAGGGUACGAUGAAAUCGAAAUCUAGUAUCUUCAACCUAGAUCCCCAAAUUCAAAAAUCU